GACGAACGCUGGCGGCGUGCUUAACACAUGCAAGUCGAACGGAAAGGCCCUGCUUGCAGGGUACUCGAGUGGCGAACGGGUGAGUAACACGUGGGUUAUCUGCCCUGCACUUCGGGAUAAGCCUGGGAAACUGGGUCUAAUACCGGAUAGGAGCCAUUUUUAGUGUGAUGGUUGGAAAGUUUUUUCGGUGUAGGAUGAGCUCGCGGCCUAUCAGCUUGUUGGUGGGGUAAUGGCCUACCAAGGCGGCGACGGGUAGCCGGCCUGAGAGGGUGGACAGCCACAUUGGGACUGAGAUACGGCCCAGACUCCUACGGGAGGCAGCAGUGGGGAAUAUUGCACAAUGGGCGCAAGCCUGAUGCAGCGACGCCGCGUGGGGGAGGACGGCCUUCGGGUUGUAAACGCCUUUCGCUAGGGACGAAGCUUUUUGUGACGGUACCUAGAUAAGAAGCACCGGCUAACUACGUG
Molecule: ribosomal RNA, 465 nt
Filed under: uncultured bacterium
Lineage: Bacteria
Description: partial 16S ribosomal RNA
Rfam family: Bacterial small subunit ribosomal RNA
Source: RNAcentral